This 373-nucleotide ribosomal RNA is filed under the name Nematoda environmental sample. Its description in RNAcentral is "bacterial SSU rRNA". It matches the Rfam family "Eukaryotic small subunit ribosomal RNA", at positions 1300 to 1665 of the family's 1831-position model. Lineage: Eukaryota; Metazoa; Nematoda. The record is from RNAcentral.
CGUGGAUUGAUUUGUCUGGUUAAUUCCGAUAACGAACGAGAUUGGAGCUUAAUUAAAUAGAAAGAUCAUUCUUUAUAUAUUUCUUUCCUUUACGGGAUUGGAAUACGUGAUUCUUUUCUUCUUAAUGGGAUUUGCGGCGUUCCAGUCGUAAGAAACCCAGCAAUAACAGGUCUGUGAUGCCCUAAGAUGUCUGGGGCUGCACGCGCGCUACAAUGAAAAUUGCAGCGUGUGUGACCUUAUCUGACAAGAUUAGGUAAACAAGUCAAAUUAUUCCGUAUUUGGGAUCGAAUAUUGUAAUUAUUAUUCGUGAACGAGGAACUUCAAGUAAGUGUAAGUCAUCAGCUUACGCUGAAUACGUCCCUGCCCUUUGUAC